This is a long non-coding RNA of Talpa occidentalis (Iberian mole), 859 nucleotides long. RefSeq lists it as uncharacterized. NCBI's taxonomy places the organism in Eukaryota, Metazoa, Chordata, Mammalia, Eulipotyphla, Talpidae. The record is from RefSeq and is a predicted model, not a curated record. The transcript is spliced from 6 exons.
GCGGUGACCAUGGCCUCUUCCAAAACAGCAGACAGGCCGAUGCAGAAAGCACUGGGCAACCCGGCACCACUCAAAGGGGAAGAGUCCUCACCUGGUCCAGCAGCGCUGAUGAGUCCCAGGCUCUGCCCCCCGGCCAGAGCCUGACCUCGCCCAACCAACUGUACAUGCCCAAAGACAGACUGGCUGCCAUGGAAAGCCCCGGGCAACCCAGCACCACUCAAAGGGGAAGAGUGCUUACCUGGCCCAGCAGCGCUGAUGAGCAGCAGGCUCCUACCCGGCCGGAGCCUGACCCUGCCCACCCAACUGGGCAUACGCAAAGGUGCAUUUCUCAGGGACGCCGGUAGGCGGCACAGAGAGACUGGCCGCCAUGGAAAGCCCCGGGCAACUCAGCACCACUCAAAGGGAAGAGUCCUAACCUGGCCCCGCAGUGCUGAUGAGCACCAGGCUCCAUUCCCGGCCGGAGCCUGACCCCACCCACCCGACUGGGCAUACGCAAAGACAGACAGGCCACCAUGGAAAGCCCCGGGCAACCCAGCACCACUCAAAGGGGAAGAAUCCUCACCUGGUCCAGCAGCGCUGAUGAGCACCAGGCUCCGCCCCCGGCCGGAGCCUGACCCCGUCCACCCGACUGGGCAUACGCAAAGACAGACUCGCCGCCAUGGAAAGACCCGGGCAACCCAGCACCACUUAAAGGAGAGGAGUCCUCAACUGGACCAGCAGCGCUGAUGAGCAGCAGGCUCCUACCCGGCCGGAGCCUGACCCCGCCCACAUGACUGCGCAUAUGCAAAGGUGUAUUUCUCAGGGUCGUCGGAAUGGGGCGCUGACAGACUGGCUGCCAUGGAAAGCCCCGGCAACCCAG